Molecule: ribosomal RNA, 212 nt
Filed under: uncultured bacterium
Lineage: Bacteria
Description: partial 16S ribosomal RNA
Rfam family: Bacterial small subunit ribosomal RNA
Source: RNAcentral
CCUGGUAGCGGGGGAGUAACUAUUGGAAACGAUAGCUAAUACCGCAUAAUAUUGAUUAUUUGCAUGAUAAUUGAUUGAAAGAUGCAACUGCAUCACUACCAGAUGGACCUGCGUUGUAUUAGCUAGUAGGUGAGGUAACGGCUCACCUAGGCGACGAUACAUAGCCGACCUGAGAGGGUGAUCGGCCACACUGGGACUGAGACACGGCCCAG